Molecule: ribosomal RNA, 439 nt
Filed under: Globobotrys sansevieriicola
Lineage: Eukaryota; Fungi; Ascomycota; Sordariomycetes; Hypocreales; Stachybotryaceae
Description: LSU rRNA
Rfam family: Eukaryotic large subunit ribosomal RNA
Source: RNAcentral
GUUCCCUGGAACGGGACGCCACAGAGGGUGAGUGCCCCGUCUGGUCGGACACCAAGCCUCUGUAAAGCUCCUUCGACGAGUCGAGUAGUUUGGGAAUGCUGCUCUAAAUGGGAGGUAUAUGUCUUCUAAAGCUAAAUACCGGCCAGAGACCGAUAGCGCACAAGUAGAGUGAUCGAAAGAUGAAAAGCACUUUGGAAAGAGAGUUAAACAGCACGUGAAAUUGUUGAAAGGGAAGCGUUCACGACCAGACUUGGGCCGGUUGAUCAUCCAGCGUUCUCGCUGGUGCACUCUGCCGGUCCAGGCCAGCAUCAGUUCGCCCCGGGGGAUAAAGGCGGCGGGAAUGUAGCUCCUCCGGGAGUGUUAUAGCCCGCCGCGCAAUACCCUGAGGCGGACUGAGGUUCGCGCUCUGCAAGGAUGCUGGCGUAAUGGUCGUCAACGA